GACGAACGCUGGCGGCGUGCCUAAUACAUGCAAGUCGAACGAGAGCGACCGGUGCUUGCACUGGUCAAUCUAGUGGCGAACGGGUGAGUAACACGUGGGUAACCUGCCCAUCAGAGGGGGAUAACAUUCGGAAACGGAUGCUAAAACCGCAUAGGUCUUCGAACCGCAUGGUUUGAAGAGGAAAAGAGGCGCAAGCUUCUGCUGAUGGAUGGACCCUCGGUGCAUUAGCUAGUUGGUGAGGUAACGGCUCACCAAGGCCGUGAUGCAUAGCCGACCUGAGAGGGUGAUCGGCCACAUUGGGACUGAGACACGGCCCAAACUCCUACGGGAGGCAGCAGUAGGGAAUCUUCCGCAAUGGACGCAAGUCUGACGGAGCAACGCCGCGUGAGUGAAGAAGGUUUUCGGAUCGUAAAACUCUGUUGUUAGAGAAGAACAAGUGCUAGAGUAACUGUUAGCGCCUUGACGGUAUCUAACCAGAAAGCCACGGCUAACUACGUG
Molecule: ribosomal RNA, 498 nt
Filed under: uncultured bacterium
Lineage: Bacteria
Description: partial 16S ribosomal RNA
Rfam family: Bacterial small subunit ribosomal RNA
Source: RNAcentral